GGGGACUUAGCUCAGUGGUAGAGCGCUUGCCUAGGAAGCGCAAAGCUCUGGGUUCGGUCCCCAGCUCCA
Molecule: non-coding RNA, 69 nt
Organism: Rattus norvegicus (Norway rat)
Lineage: Eukaryota; Metazoa; Chordata; Mammalia; Rodentia; Muridae
Source: Rfam